UACAGAGGGUGCGAGCGUUAAUCGGAAUUAUUGGGCGUAAAGCGCAUGUAGGUGGCUUGUUAAGUCUGAUGUGAAAGCCCUGGGCUUAACCUGGGAACUGCGUUGGAAACUGAUAAGCUAGAGUCGGACAGAGGGCAGUGGAAUUUCCGGUGUAGCGGUGAAAUGCGUAGAGAUCGGAAAGAACACCAGUGGCGAAGGCGGCUGCCUGGGUCCAGACUGACACUGAGGUGCGAAAGCAUGGGGAGCAAACAGG
This 253-nucleotide ribosomal RNA is filed under the name uncultured bacterium. RNAcentral's name for it is "partial 16S ribosomal RNA". It matches the Rfam family "Bacterial small subunit ribosomal RNA", at positions 524 to 776 of the family's 1533-position model. The record is from RNAcentral.